AUUGAACGCUGGCGGCAUGUCUUACACAUGCAAGUCGAACGGCAGCACGGGUGCUUGCACCUGGUGGCGAGUGGCGAACGGGUGAGUAAUACAUCGGAACAUGCCCUGUAGUGGGGGAUAGCCCGGCGAAAGCCGGAUUAAUACCGCAUACGAUCUACGGAUGAAAGCGGGGGACCUUCGGGCCUCGCGCUAUAGGGUUGGCCGAUGGCUGAUUAGCUAGUUGGUGGGGUAAAGGCCUACCAAGGCGACGAUCAGUAGCUGGUCUGAGAGGACGACCAGCCACACUGGGACUGAGACACGGCCCAGACUCCUACGGGAGGCAGCAGUGGGGAAUUUUGGACAAUGGGCGAAAGCCUGAUCCAGCAAUGCCGCGUGUGUGAAGAAGGCCUUCGGGUUGUAAAGCACUUUUGUCCGGAAAGAAAUCCUUGGCCCUAAUACGGUCGGGGGAUGACGGUACCGGAAGAAUAAGCACCGGCUAACUACGUG
This 486-nucleotide ribosomal RNA is filed under the name uncultured bacterium. Its description in RNAcentral is "partial 16S ribosomal RNA". It matches the Rfam family "Bacterial small subunit ribosomal RNA", at positions 30 to 507 of the family's 1533-position model. The record is from RNAcentral.